Long non-coding RNA from Pogoniulus pusillus (Red-fronted tinkerbird), 1496 nucleotides. RefSeq lists it as uncharacterized. Lineage: Eukaryota; Metazoa; Chordata; Aves; Piciformes; Lybiidae. The transcript is spliced from 4 exons. The record is from RefSeq and is a predicted model, not a curated record.
UAAUCAAAAUCUACAAUAUUUCCAUAUUAAAAGCUGUGUGAGUGCUGAAGCAUGAGUACAUUUUAGCUUAACUGUAGGAUUUUUCAGCAAGGUUCAACAAACUGAAAGCUGGACAAGAGAGGAAUAAUGAUUGUGGAAAUCCUGAGAAGAAUUCAUUAUCCUACCAGGCAGCUCUGAUGUUGAAAAAAACAAACUGAGAUGCACUUGUGUGAUAUUUUCACAUACAGGAAGUACAGUUCAGUAUUUGUAUUGGCUUCUAAAUUGAUAAUAGUUUGUGUCAUCUAAAGGAAAUCACAUGUAUCAUGCUGUCAUAAAGACCUCUCUGAAUAUGGCUUUUUAGCCCUGUAUGUAUCAUACAAAACCCCAAACCCCUCAGCCAGCUUUUACUCUGAAAACUGCUUAAUUUUUAAGUUCUCCACAAAUUUCCAGAUGGCCAAGAUGUUCUGCUAUUCAUUGUUAAUUUAUUUUAAACUGCUUAUUGGUAGUUUCUGUGUUCUUUGAUUUUGAGAAGAUCCGGUGUAACUAGGGUGGAAAUCUAAGCCACACAAGGCAGAAAACUGGGAUGAAGCUGGAGAAGGAAGAGGAACUUGUCAAAGCCUGUGGAGAAGAAGUGAGGAUAAUUAAUCAGACGAAUGGAGAUAGAGAGCAGGUGUGCAGAGGGAAUAGUCAGAUGGAACAAAAGGCAGUGGAAUGAAAAUGAAUGCCAGAAGAGUUAGAGGAAAUAUUAGCCAAGACUGGUGUGCCCUGAAAACUGAAGAAAUUGUUCUGCAUGCAGAUUUAGCAAGGCAAACUGUCUUCAUUCUUCCCUCUGUCCCUGUGGAUUUAACCAGGAUGCAUGUUUAGGUGCAGUGGGAUCACACCUGUGAUACUUGCAACAGUUUGUGGUCCCUCGGAAGUUCAGUGAGAGUUCUGCAUGGAGGUGGCAAAAGGGAAAAAAUAGUAUAAUUUGGAUCUGAAUGUCAGAAGGUGGGACCUGCUGAAAAGUUUCAUGUUACUUCAUCAGGAUAGCACCUUUCUUUGAAGCAUAAAGGAGAAAAGGAGAAACACUUGGUGCUUGAGAAAGGAUUGAUUCUUCUGUUUUUUCCUGCAAGGCAGAAAAAGUAUCUGUUUCACUACUCGUCAGCUUGGCAGGCAGAAGAAUCUAUGAAGUGCUGAGGCUGUAGAAUUCAGAGGUUGAAGAGAUGGAAGAAUUAGCCAUUUCCUGUCAUUGCAGAGGUUUUCUGCUCACAAGGGAUGAAGAGGUAUUUAUUAUUGACAUACACAUAUAUAUCUAAAAAAACCCAAAACUACCCCAGUUUCUCAAUCCCAGCAGCAGCCUGUCUCCAGCAGAAUGCAACUCAAUGACUUUGUCAGGUUUUGUCCCUUCAACAAGCUAUUUCUGCAUGCUGUGGGAGUGCCUUAGGGAGGAAAGUAGUGAAGCUGUUGUAAAUAUAUAUGCCUGAAUAUGAACAUGAAUUAAGGUGUGAUUAAAUAUGUUGUUUUCUCUAAAUCAAUAA